This 213-nucleotide ribosomal RNA is filed under the name uncultured bacterium. Its description in RNAcentral is "partial 16S ribosomal RNA". It matches the Rfam family "Bacterial small subunit ribosomal RNA", at positions 1289 to 1500 of the family's 1533-position model. The record is from RNAcentral.
CAGUUCGGAUUGUAGGCUGAAACUCGCCUACAUGAAGCUGGAGUUACUAGUAAUCGCAGAUCAGAAUGCUGCGGUGAAUGCGUUCCCGGGUCUUGUACACACCGCCCGUCACACCACGGAAGUUGGGGGCGCCCGAAGCCACUUGCUAACCCUUUUGGGAAGCGAGUGUCGAAGGUGAAAUCAAUAACUGGGGUGAAGUCGUAACAAGGUAUC